UUAAAUUGAAGAGUUUGAUCAUGGCUCAGAUUGAACGCUGGCGGCAGGCCUAACACAUGCAAGUCGAACGGUAGCACAGAGAGCUUGCUGCUUGGGUGACGAGUGGCGGACGGG
This 114-nucleotide ribosomal RNA is filed under the name Salmonella enterica subsp. enterica serovar Infantis. RNAcentral describes it as "partial 16S ribosomal RNA". It matches the Rfam family "Bacterial small subunit ribosomal RNA", at positions 1 to 106 of the family's 1533-position model. The record is from RNAcentral. Lineage: Bacteria; Pseudomonadati; Pseudomonadota; Gammaproteobacteria; Enterobacterales; Enterobacteriaceae.